RNAcentral lists this transfer RNA (74 nucleotides) under Rhipicephalus sanguineus (brown dog tick). RNAcentral describes it as "transfer RNA isoleucine (anticodon AAU)". It matches the Rfam family "tRNA". From Rfam's summary of the family: Transfer RNA (tRNA) molecules are approximately 80 nucleotides in length. Their secondary structure includes four short double-helical elements and three loops (D, anti-codon, and T loops). The record is from Rfam by way of RNAcentral. Lineage: Eukaryota; Metazoa; Arthropoda; Arachnida; Ixodida; Ixodidae.
GGCCUGCUAGCUCAGUCGGUUAGAGCGUCGUGCUAAUAAAGCGAAGGUCGUAGGUUCGAUCCCUGCGCAGGCCA